GCUUGGGUAGCUCAGUUGGUAGAGCACUUGCCUGUUAAAGGCAAGGGUCCCGAGUUCGAGUCUCGGUCCAGAACA
This 75-nucleotide transfer RNA is filed under the name Schistocerca americana (American grasshopper). RNAcentral's name for it is "tRNA-Asn". It matches the Rfam family "tRNA". From Rfam's summary of the family: Transfer RNA (tRNA) molecules are approximately 80 nucleotides in length. Their secondary structure includes four short double-helical elements and three loops (D, anti-codon, and T loops). The record is from RNAcentral. Lineage: Eukaryota; Metazoa; Arthropoda; Insecta; Orthoptera; Acrididae.